CCAGCAGUCCCGAGAGGACCCGCAGACCCUCUGAAGGAAGUGGGCUGCUCCUGCAGGACCCGGGAGACCCCCGCAAAAGUCUGAAUGCAACAGCCCCUGGUUUCCUGCUCUGUGAGGAAUGGCUAGACCACAUCUCCUGCUGGUGACAAGUGUCAGAAGUAUUGAUUCUGCAACAAACUGAGAAGAAACCUGGCGAUUCACAACAGAGAGCUGAGAAAUCCUAAGUCUGGAUUCCAGCUAAAUGGGAGCAGACUAAAUAGAGCGGCAGUCGGCGAACUACAUGUAGCCCAUGAACAAAAUCCGGUCCAGCACGUGUGUUUUUUUUUACGGCCCACAAAUGAGUCUGUCUUUACAGAUGAAUGUUAAAACUGGGUUGACAAGAGAGAACACUCACUUUGAACCGCAACUAAACAAAAUAUUAUCACCUUUCCCCUCAAAAAAGGUUUUUGUUCUUCUCAUUAGUAAAUUUGUAUUAUGACAAA
RNAcentral lists this long non-coding RNA (482 nucleotides) under Homo sapiens (human). RNAcentral's name for it is "non-protein coding LINC02492:10". The record is from RNAcentral. Lineage: Eukaryota; Metazoa; Chordata; Mammalia; Primates; Hominidae.